This 440-nucleotide ribosomal RNA is filed under the name uncultured bacterium. Its description in RNAcentral is "partial 16S ribosomal RNA". It matches the Rfam family "Bacterial small subunit ribosomal RNA", at positions 339 to 795 of the family's 1533-position model. The record is from RNAcentral.
CUACGGGGGGCACCAGUGGGGAAUAUUGCACAAUGGAGGAAACUCUGAUGCAGCAACGCCGCGUGGAGGAUGACACUUUUCGGAGCGUAAACUCCUUUUAUAUAGGAAGAAGAUGACGGUACUAUAUGAAUAAGCGCCGGCUAACUCCGUGCCAGCAGCCGCGGUGAAUACGGAGGGCGCAAGCGUUACUCGGAAUCACUGGGCGUAAAGAGCGUGUAGGCGGAUUAAAAAGUCAGAAGUGAAAUCCUAUAGCUUAACUAUAGAACUGCUUCUGAAACUCUUAAUCUAGAAUAUGGGAGAGGUAGAUGGAAUUUCUGGUGUAGGGGUAAAAUCCGUAGAGAUCAGAAGGAAUACCGAUUGCGAAGGCGAUCUACUAGAACAUUAUUGACGCUGAGACGCGAAAGCGUGGGGAGCAAACAGGAUUAGAUACCCGGGUAGUC